RNAcentral lists this ribosomal RNA (546 nucleotides) under uncultured Glomeromycotina. RNAcentral's name for it is "SSU rRNA". It matches the Rfam family "Eukaryotic small subunit ribosomal RNA", at positions 548 to 1098 of the family's 1831-position model. The record is from RNAcentral. Lineage: Eukaryota; Fungi; Glomeromycota.
UUGGAGGGCAAGUCUGGUGCCAGCAGCCGCGGUAAUUCCAGCUCCAAUAGCGUAUAUUAAAGUUGUUGCAGUUAAAAAGCUCGUAGUUGAAUUUCGGAAUCAGUACGUUGGUCGUGCCUUAGGUACGUACUGGUGUUACUGGUUUCUACCUUCUGACGAACCAUCGUGUCAUUCAUUUGGUGUGGGGGGGAAUCAGGACUGUUACUUUGAAAAAAUUAGAGUGUUUAAAGCAGGCUCGCGCUUGAAUACAUUAGCAUGGAAUAAUGAAAUAGGACGUUGAUCCUAUUUUGUUGGUUUCUAGGAUUGACGUAAUGAUUAAUAGGGAUAGUUGGGGGCAUUAGUAUUCAAUUGUCAGAGGUGAAAUUCUUGGAUUUAUUGAAGACUAACUACUGCGAAAGCAUUUGCCAAGGAUGUUUUCAUUAAUCAAGAACGAAAGUUAGGGGAUCGAAGACGAUCAGAUACCGUCGUAGUCUUAACCAUAAACUAUGCCGACUAGGGAUCGGAUGAUGUUAUUUUUAAUGACUCAUUCGGCGCCUUACGGGAAAC